GACGAACGCUGGCGGCGUGCUUAACACAUGUAAGUCGAACGAAGAGCUAUGGAAGCUUGCUUCUUUCAAUCUGAGUGGCGAGCAGGUGAGAAACGCGUAAUCCACCCGUCUUUCAGUGGGGGACAUCAGUGGGAAAGGACUGCUAAUAGCGCAUACUAUCUAAACUCGUCGUCGAGUAUAGAUGAACGGUUGUCUCGACAUGUAAGCUAUCACUGGAGGCGGGUAUUGCGUCUGAUUAGCUAGGUGGAUGGGUAACGGCCCACCCAGGCGAAGAAUAGGAGCCGGUCUGAGAGGAUGAACGGCCAAAUUGGGACUGAGACACGGCCCAGAAUCCCUAGGGAAGGAGCAGGGGGGAAUCUUCCGCAAUGGAGGAAAGGCUGAACGAGCCACGCCGGCGGGGUGAUGAAGGCCUUCGGGUUGUAAAGAUCUGUUUAUCGGGACGAAAGGACUUCUUGCGAAUAGUGAGAAGGAUUGACGGUACCGGAACAGAAAGCCACGGCUAACUACGUG
This 510-nucleotide ribosomal RNA is filed under the name uncultured bacterium. RNAcentral describes it as "partial 16S ribosomal RNA". It matches the Rfam family "Bacterial small subunit ribosomal RNA", at positions 28 to 507 of the family's 1533-position model. The record is from RNAcentral.